CCUCCUCACUCUCGGAGCCGGCCACCACCGGAAUCCCCCCCGCCGGCGGUGUCGGGCGGCUGGGGCACCAGGGCGUAGCAGCACGAGUGGCACCUCAUGGCGGACCUCCUCUCGCCGCUCCUCGACGACCCACGUCUCCACCUCCACGACGGGCUGCCUUGAGUGUGAGGCGGCGGCGGCGGCAGGCAUGCCAGAGUUGUCAUCCAACUUGUGCGCGUCAGGUCCGGGCCCAUGGAGGGCGGGCCGGGGGUGAGGAACACGCUUAAGGCUUGCUUUCAGCACAACAACCUGUCCGUGGGACUGACAAGUUCAUUUCAGCCAAGCUGCCCACAUCUUCCCAUGCAAAUCCCUUUUGAUGCCUCACUGCACGGGAGACGGCACCAGCCUCAACCCAGUCCACUCUUGGUGAUCUAUGUUCCGGCUGAGCGAUGCAAGGCGGGGCAUACAGGCCGUUGCAUGAAGAACUGAUGAUCUGUCUAGUCAUCAUAUGCCACAACUGUAGUCCAAGGGCUCCGAUUGAAGCGACAGCUAUUGCAAUAUUGGGACUGCGAUACCUACAAAAGGAUAAUUUGUGAGCAAUAUAAAUGCAAGCCAACAAGCAUGAAAUGGCAAUUCAGAGUAACUAUAUGUUCAGACUCCACAGCAAAAAGGAUUUCAUUAUAGGGAUGGACUCGAAAGAGUGAUCUUGUUAUCCUCUCAAGUAGAGGAAGAAUAAUCCCUAGUUCAAAGCUUUUGGAGUUUUGGUGUUACACGUAACACAUGAUUCCCAGUUGAUAUGACCCUAGAGCUCCUAGGCGAACGCGAAGGUAUGUCGACUUUCAGUGGUACAAACUCCAGAAAUUAGUGACUAAAAUCUGAACUGAUGAGUGUGCAUAUGGUAUUCUUGGUGUGAGGAUACUGAAUGAAUGACAACUUGCACUUAUUGAAGAUAAUUAAGAAGUAUUCACAUAUGCGGAUGACCAUGAUUUCUGGACAGUACUGCUAAAUGUUGACAGGCAUUUUCAUGUUGAAGAUUCAGCGAUUUCGUAAUCAGAAUGAGAUGUGCCUGCACCAAGCAAAAGUGGUUUCCCUGAGAUGAAGGCGUGAUACACAAAACUGAAGGCAUUGUUGUGUACGUUUGUCAUUUAGCAAAAAGGUGUGGCAUUCAGAGCAGUUACAGGACCUUCAUAUUUAGGAGUGAUUGUGCGGUAACGACUAGUAUCAUUUAGCAAACGCGAGCAUGUGCUGGAUUCAUCGUGUGCUCCUGUGAUGGUUUGUGCACUGCAUGCAGAGGAGAAGUGUGCCGAGAAGGCCACCAGAAGUGGAGACCGCUCAUGAGAGCUAACUUAGACAUUGAGCGACAUGCCAGCGGAAUAGGCACAUGAGCAAUGUUCGAGCAGUUCGGCCUUAUCCUGUAUGAGUACAGUGCCUACUAGGUGGAGGAGAUAGAUAAGGGGAAGGCGUAUAUAUUGCGAUACACACACAAGGAGAGGCGGUGUGUAGUGUCGUAGAAAGUGAGCAUGGUAGAUGGAGGUGUUUGAUUUCAUCCGGGUUAAGCAAAUCUCGCAGACGCACAUAGUAAAUCCCGCAGAGGGACGUCCUUGCUCCUCACCUUACCCAUUACCAAUAAAAAACCAUUCAGUUUCAGCCAUUUCAAUAUUUAUACAUGAAGGCAGUGGAGCUUGUCUGUCUUGACAACACUAGUGUUAUGCUUAUGACCGUCUUGUGAUGCUGCUCAGUAAUUGCAUGGCUUACGACCAUGUUACCAUUGCAGUUUUCAUAUUAUGAUUGCAUUGCUUAUAUAGAUCAGUCUAUGAAUGAUGUGACUUGUGCUUCUGCUUUGUUCUGAAUUUGGGUACCCUGCAUACUAAUAUCCUGACGACAAAUCUGAAGAGAUGGAGCAAGAUCAGGCUUGGGUGCAAGGACAAAUAGAGUGCAUUGCGCCAUCGGAGGUCAGUACCGCCUCCUCCAUGGUUAUGGGGCCUGAAGCAGACUCAGCUAUUGACGGUGGAUUAGCAUGACGGAGCUGGUGCUUGGAUUAUACAUAAAAGGACUCAGCUCGACGUCUGUGCUCGAGCUCAGAACAAUACUUUUGGCAUGAUAGAUAUCCUGCAUGGAUGUUUUUCUUUUGCUGUCUUCCUUUAGAGAUGUCUGAAUGUUGGUGCUUGGUUUGGCAGGAAAGUGAGGGCUGUCACGAAUAAGGAAGGAAUUGAACUUGGCAGGGAAUAUGGGCGCUUGUGUGUCCAAAGUGGAUGUGGAGCACCGGCUUGAUGGAUCGUAGCAAGUUUGUGUAACGCUGAUGGAUUACCAAGGGGCCGGGGUAAGCUACUGGAUUGAGAGAGUGUAACAUGCAUGUUUCCUCAUGGAAGAAAUUAAAAGGGAUGUCACCCAUCAUCAGCAUGGGUGAAAGAUGGAAGAAAGAUCUCAAGGGAAGGGUCAUGGGUGAAUCCAUUCCAGGGCUUGAGUUUUGUACUACAUGUUACUCUACUGCUUAAUUACUUUUGAGUGCCUUAAUUACUGCUUUCCAUGAGCAACAAACUUAUCCUCCUUCCAUUGAUGUAAAGCAGGAUGGCACCCUUUGAGAUGCUUCUGCUUAUAUUGUAUAUUAUAUAUGGUGCGCAACCAUUUUUAA
Molecule: long non-coding RNA, 2611 nt
Organism: Triticum dicoccoides
Lineage: Eukaryota; Viridiplantae; Streptophyta; Magnoliopsida; Poales; Poaceae
Exons: 5
Source: RefSeq, a predicted model, not a curated record